GACAGAGGGUGCAAACGUUGCUCGGAAUUACUGGGCGUAAAGCGCAUGUAGGCGGGCAGGAAAGUCAGAUGUGAAAUCCCUGGGCUCAACCUAGGAACUGCAUUUGAAACUUCCUGCCUUGAGUAUUGAAGAGGAUUGCGGAAUUCCUGGUGUAGAGGUGAAAUUCGUAGAUAUCAGGAGGAACACCGGUGGCGAAGGCGGCAAUCUGGGCAAUUACUGACGCUGAGAUGCGAAAGCGUGGGGAGCAAACAGG
Molecule: ribosomal RNA, 253 nt
Filed under: uncultured bacterium
Lineage: Bacteria
Description: partial 16S ribosomal RNA
Rfam family: Bacterial small subunit ribosomal RNA
Source: RNAcentral